This 251-nucleotide ribosomal RNA is filed under the name uncultured bacterium. RNAcentral describes it as "partial 16S ribosomal RNA". It matches the Rfam family "Bacterial small subunit ribosomal RNA", at positions 524 to 772 of the family's 1533-position model. The record is from RNAcentral.
UACGUAGGGGGCAAGCGUUGUCCGGAUUUAUUGGGCGUAAAGAGCGUGUAGGCGGCCUGGAAGGUCAGCUGUGAAAACUCGAGGCUUAACCUCGAGACGUCGGUUGAAACCACCUGGCUAGAGUCCGGAAGAGGAGAGUGGAAUCCCGGGUGUAGCGGUGAAAUGCGCAGAUAUCGGGAAGAACACCCGUGGCGAAGGCGGCUCUCUGGGACGGUACUGGACGGCUGAGACGCGAAAGCGUGGGGAGCGAA